CACCAGUGUAGCCAAGUAGUCCCAGGUGUUGGAUUAAGGCUCCAAUCUCUUCUGGUACAUGGGUUCAACUUCUACCACUGCCGG
Molecule: non-coding RNA, 84 nt
Organism: Turdus rufiventris (rufous-bellied thrush)
Lineage: Eukaryota; Metazoa; Chordata; Aves; Passeriformes; Turdidae
Source: the annotation of a GenBank genome assembly